CCUCCAUCUCCUGGGCGUCACGCCUCUCUCCUCCACCCUGGCUGACCACUGCAGUGCAUCCACGAGUAUUCAGGGGUGUCAACGGACCCGAGCUGUGACUCUAAAGAAGAGACGGCGAGUGGGACAUACACAUCGGACGCUCUGACAAUGCCGGCUCAGGUUCCUGUGAGUUUGCCAUGGCGACCAGUGGGCCCUGACAGCAGCGGGGAUCAUGGUCUUGCAGAGGAAGGGUGUGUGUGUAGUUGAGGGGGUUUGGGGUUAUU
Cyprinus carpio carpio is the source of this 263-nucleotide long non-coding RNA. Lineage: Eukaryota; Metazoa; Chordata; Actinopteri; Cypriniformes; Cyprinidae. The record is from Ensembl.